Molecule: ribosomal RNA, 252 nt
Filed under: uncultured bacterium
Lineage: Bacteria
Description: partial 16S ribosomal RNA
Rfam family: Bacterial small subunit ribosomal RNA
Source: RNAcentral
UACGUAGGGUGCAAGCGUUGUCCGGAAUUAUUGGGCGAAAGAGCUCGUAGGCGGUCUGUCGCGUCGGCUGUGAAAACUCGGGGCUCAACUCCGAGCUUGCAGUCGAUACGGGCAGGCUAGAGUUCGGCAGGGGAGACUGGAAUUCCUGGUGUAGCGGUGAAAUGCGCAGAUAUCAGGAGGAACACCGGUGGCGAAGGCGGGUCUCUGGGCCGAUACUGACGCUGAGGAGCGAAAGCGUGGGGAGCGAACAGG